UCGGCCCUCAAUCAAGGCCAUCGGUUUGCCGUAGCCGAUGGUUUCAAACAGGAGCCCAAAGGAAACGUCUCCCGGUCUGUUGGCACCCCCAUCCCCAUGGAAUGGCCAAUUCGUGUGGGAGCGACAAGG
This is a non-coding RNA of Eurypyga helias (sunbittern), 129 nucleotides long. NCBI's taxonomy places the organism in Eukaryota, Metazoa, Chordata, Aves, Eurypygiformes, Eurypygidae. The record is from Rfam.